Molecule: ribosomal RNA, 268 nt
Filed under: uncultured Eubacteriales bacterium
Lineage: Bacteria; Bacillati; Bacillota; Clostridia; Eubacteriales
Description: uncultured Clostridiales bacterium partial 16S ribosomal RNA
Rfam family: Bacterial small subunit ribosomal RNA
Source: RNAcentral
GUUGCCAGCAGGUUAAGCUGGGCACUCUAGUGAGACUGCCGGGGACAACUCGGAGGAAGUGGGGAUGACGUCAAAUCGAUCAUGCCCCUUAUGUUCUGGGCUACACACGUGCUACAAUGGCCGGUACAGAGAGACGCAAUGUCGCGAGGCGGAGCAAAACUCUAAAACCGGUCCCAGUUCGGAUUGCAGGCUGAAACUCGCCUGCAUGAAGUCGGAGUUGCUAGUAAUCGCGAAUCAGAAUGUCGCGGUGAAUGCGUUCCCGGGUCUU